GUCCCAUGUUCAUUUGAUUUGAUUUUUGUCCCAUACAAGAAUAUAUAUGGCUUACUGGUGGGGAUCUCCACCAUUUACAAGUAUUCAAACAGGAGGGGGUGGUGGUGACCCCCAGGGACUUUACCUACAUUUCAUUUGAUUUGUUUUAUUGUCCCAUACAAGAAUAUAUAUGGUUUAGGGGUGGGGAUGUUGACCAUUAACAAGUUUUCAUACUGCAAGAGUGGGGUGGGAGACCCCCUAGGGACUUCCCUUUUAUUUCAUUUUAUUUGUUUUAUUGUCCCCUACAAGAAUAUAUAUGGUUUAGGGGUGGGGAUGUUGACCGUUUACAAGUUUUCAAACAAGAAGGGGUGGGAUGACCCCCUCAGGACUUCCCUUUUAUCUCAUUUCAUUUGUUUUAUUGUCCCCUACAAGAAUAUAUGUGGUUUAGGGGUGGGGAUCUGGACCGUUUACAAGAUAAUAGUACAUUCUCAAAUUGAACGGGGUGGGGGUGACCCCCAGGAACUUCCAUUUAAUUUCAUUUGAUUAGUUUUAUUGUCCCUUACAAGAAUAUAUAUAGUUUAGGGGUGGGG
RNAcentral lists this long non-coding RNA (569 nucleotides) under Mytilus galloprovincialis (Mediterranean mussel). Lineage: Eukaryota; Metazoa; Mollusca; Bivalvia; Mytilida; Mytilidae. The record is from RNAcentral.